This is a long non-coding RNA of Oxyura jamaicensis (ruddy duck), 1601 nucleotides long. RefSeq lists it as uncharacterized. The record is from RefSeq and is a predicted model, not a curated record. NCBI's taxonomy places the organism in Eukaryota, Metazoa, Chordata, Aves, Anseriformes, Anatidae. The transcript has 2 exons.
GCCUCCUGCCGCAGCUCAGGGCCUCGUGGCGUGAGCCUCCGCACCCACCGGCCGCGGCCCUCGGGUCCCUGCCGAAGCGCCGCGGUUGGGAAGCCGUCGGCCGCUUGGCGAUCCGCUUUUCUUCUUACCGAGCUUAUGAUUUUGACUAAUUGACUGUGUAUUGAGUUGGUGACUCUUUAAUUUUUUUUUUUUUUAUAGAAGAUUUCCUUCUAGGUUCAGUAAAGUUCAAACUUAAUCUAAUGUUAGUAUUGAUUGUCGCCUCUAAUUGCAGACAAAAAAGCUAUAGUUCAGUGGCCCUUUUCCGUUUUGUUUGUAUGAAGAAAAAUCUCGAGUUCUGAAGCGAGGGCUGUGCCAAGCUGCCGCAUGAAUCUGGGGUGAUUUUUCAUCAUGAAGUUAAAUGCAUUAAAACUUUAUAAAAUGUGUGUUUUGUUUUUAUUUUUAAUGUUUAAAGCAGCCGAGAAGCUGUAGGUGGAGUUGUGAUUCAGUGAAGCCCACGAGUGGCACGGUGCUCCCUUUUCCCUUUGGUGUGUCGUCGUUCACCACCACCGUGGAACGAUUUGAAGGGCAAAGCAUCCAAACCCACGGUCCUGCCUGGAGAGUCACCUUAGCAAUGCCGUGCUCUGGCAGCAUGGCAUGCGUCUUUCUGCGACAUGGAGAUGCUUAGCUGAAAAAUGAAAGUGCUCUAUGCGAACGUUGUCGUGAGACAGGUUGUGACUGGCACCAGAUGAAAUGCUUAGUGAGGCUUUGGCUGGAAGGUUCUUCUUGUUCUUGCCAUCCUUAAAUCUGUCUGCCUUGGUGGAAGCUUUUGUUAGUGCCUGCCUUGGGAAGCCUCUCUUCAAACCUCCACGUCUGAUUUUUGCAAGAGCAGCUCUGCCUGUCUGGUGCCAGGAGGAAGCUGAGCUCAGCACCUUGCAGUGAGGUCUACCAUGUCUGCCUACAUCCCCAAAACGCACGAGCCCUUCUGAAACUAUGGAUGCAAGUCUUGAGCUGCUUGAUGUUGUGCAGCAAACCAGAACAAACCUUACCAAAGACCCGGGUUUGAAAGGGCCCCUUGGCCACUGCGUGUGUGCGUACCUGGGGCCACAGCCCGCGGGCUGCGUGCGUGCUGCCCCCCGUGCCCAGGGGCCUGCGAGCCAGCACUUGUGCCAGCCCCAAACCCAGCCGUGAGGGAAAACCACCGCUGGCCACGGGCUGCGUCUGGUGUGUGAUGGCUGGCAGGUCAAUUCCUGUGGCGUGUAGCUUGUUGAUCUGUCUGCGUGGAGCUGCAGCAUUAGUACCGUAGCAAAUCUUAAGUAGCUGCAUAGGGAAAUACUGCUUUUGGCUCCUUCUUUGCCACCCUCACCUCCAUUUGUCUUCGAGUGGAUUAGCUGAGCAUUGUAAUACUAAUGCCAUUAGGCACAUUGGCACUGCUCAACAUGUCACAGUGAGAAACAGAUGCAGUAUACCAUUAAAGCAAUAAACGUGAUAAAUCAGAUCCCAAGUGCUUUGUGAGAUGUUAUUAGUGUUAAUUUUGGUAGCCUGAUACAGUAGUUGUUUUUUAUUUUAUUUUAAGCAUUCAGCAAUUUGUGUUGCACUAAGCUCAGCUGCAAAAGAAACUUAAA